AAAAUAUCAAUAUCAAACAAGAUCUAAGAUUCUUUGUUUUUAACAAUGCCAAAUAAAAUGUUGUCGUUUAACGACCCAGCCUACUAACAACAAUAACUCGUUGGGGCCAAAUACCGGUCCAAAAUACUUAAACUCAGUUAUUAUUACUAUCCAAACCUGUCACGCCCCGCCCCGAAUCCACUACUAAUUUGGCACGGUUCGGGCGCGCCGGACGAACCGCCGAACGGACAGCACCUCUCCUGUCCGCCCAAGGCCAAGCAACCAGAUCAUGUACAGUUAAGCGCCCAGGGAAUGCUUAAAUAACAUACAUGAUCGAUACGAUGCACACAAGUGCACUAUAACUAAGAGCAAGAACCACAAGUGAAUGUACAAGUGUAUAAAGAGAGAUAGUCUAACUAUUACAACCAUUCAACAUUUACAUCAUUUGAAUAUAUUACAUUUCCGUCUUCCAAACUGUAAAUACAUGUUUUUCUCAAAAUACAAGUAGCUCGCCAAUAACUAUCCAAAACAUCAUCUAGUACACGAGGGUACUCUAAUGCAUAAAGGAAAAGCUACUAAUUAGGCUCACUUAGGGCACUAUGCCCUUGCUGCGGUCCUCGCUCGGCUCACCUCUAUGUGUACCUGUACCUCAAAACCACAUGGGGUGAGAACUAUAUAAAUAUAGUUCCCAGUGGGUUCGGCCGCCGACACCGCCGGUUUUCCCACUAGGUCUAAGCUGGCACAUAUAGAGAGAUAGAUAGAUAUAUAAAAAUGAACUGCAACUAUUCUAUCAUGCCAUCAAUAAUGAUAAUACAUGCAACAACUACUAUCAUGCUAAAAUCAUGUCAUGAGUAUAUAAAAGUACAUAGCAAUGCAAUUUACAACAUACACUAUGUCUACUCGAGGUAAUAAUGCAAGUCUACUAUGUAUCUCAUGUUUAUUACCCAAUCUACUUGGUUAACCCGUAGGUUAAACCUUCGACUCACUCUC
RNAcentral lists this long non-coding RNA (969 nucleotides) under Ananas comosus (pineapple). RNAcentral's name for it is "long non-coding RNA (ACOM_LNC003170)". Lineage: Eukaryota; Viridiplantae; Streptophyta; Magnoliopsida; Poales; Bromeliaceae. The record is from RNAcentral.